Molecule: long non-coding RNA, 3587 nt
Organism: Corvus hawaiiensis (hawaiian crow)
Lineage: Eukaryota; Metazoa; Chordata; Aves; Passeriformes; Corvidae
Exons: 3
Source: RefSeq, a predicted model, not a curated record
AUGAGGCCUAUAAAAGAAUCAGGGGAAGGUGGAACAAAAUAAGGGAAGUACUAGAAAUAACAGAGAAAACCAACAAUGGAUCCUUACUGAAAUGCAAACUUGAGACAAGAGAAUACUGAAGAUAAAAACAUUGGUAACAUAAAAGUAGGAAUUGAAUGUGGUCAAAUUCAGGCCCUCUAAAUUUAAAAAACGAACAGCAAAGGAAAGCAAACCGUAACAUUUGAAAACCGGCUUUGGAGACACCAACUUGUAAAUGACUUCUGUGUUAACAUUCAAAACUUCAAAUUAACAUCACUGACAGAACUGGAGGGAAACCGUGGUGAACCCAAGGCCACACCUACUGACAGGCUGUGAAGAUGACAUCUGUCUCCCUCUGUUCCUGGCAGCAAGGAAUUGCAACUGGUCUCUUCUGUGCAAGGUAGAAGUUGUAUACACUAUCACUAUUACAGAAAAUGGAAACUAUUUUCUCAAGCCUCAUGCACGUCAAGCUCUGUGGUUUAUACUAAAAGUGGAUUUUAUAGCCUGUUGUGUACACUUCGUGUUUCCUGUGCCAAGGAACCACAAGACAGAAAACCUGAGGCCUGUGAAGUUCCCCUGCCUUAGACCUUGGUGUAGCAUCGUCACCAAUGGUUUCCAGCACAGCAGCACACACUUCCAGUUCUGUAAUCUGUGGUUUAGCUGCAGGGUGACUCAGGUGGUGAUUCAGUAGGUGGAAAGCUUUCUUCUGUCAAUAUUGAACUCAUGUCCCACUAUCCAGGUACACAGUGCUGUUUAAAGGAGUAACCUUCUGCUGGGAUACAAGAGAAACGGAGUGACCGAUGACUAUUGUUCAGGAUCCCAUGGUGCAAGUGGAAAUAUUAACUCUUGGGCACACACCAGCUUUCAGUUCGAUGGAAUGCAUUCUGCUUAAAUUUUCCUUUCCCAUCCUUAUGCUGGUUUGUAAUCUUGCUCUUCCUGAUGGUUUAUUUCCACAUGACAGAAGGCUGCAUGCUUUAGUAUGAGAGAUGAUUUUUCUGGAUCCAAGGGACAGGGGAUGGUGCUGGUAUCCCGAGUAAAGCAGAAAUAAAUCAUAGCAAGAAUAAUGUUAAUCCUCAUUAUUAAAAGAGUUCACACACCCUUUGUUCAAAAGUACAACAGUGUAGAGAGAUUUAAGAUUAAUCCUGGAUUCUCACAUGAUAUCUGUUGGUAAAAGAACAUGCAUGUGAGAGGGUAAGUACAAAGGCCAGCUUACCAUGCUGCUUAUUUCCACUGUACAGGUGGGAAAUAGUACUUAAUUCUAAGAAAGGCAUUUUGCUAACAAGAGUUGUAUGCUGCAAGAAGUAUGUAAGUUCAUACUGUUUCCAUUUUAUCUAACUAAACUCUAUUAUUGUUAUUAUUAUUAAUUACUAUUAAUUAUUAUUAUUAAUUUACAUUUCUGGUAAAAUAUUAUGUGUUGAAACUGAUAUUCCUAAAAACCUUCCAUACUUCAGAUGUUUGCCAGUUGAGAAGUGGCUCCUGGCAAUUUAAAUGAGUAAUGCUUGUUCUGUGGCUGGCACAUUGCUGGAACAGAGCAGUCAGCUAGCACGCUUUCAUGCCAGGAGGAUGUGCAUGUGCUUGCCUCAGUGUGUAACUCUCUUUUGCUCAUUUGUGCAGCUUCACGGGGUUUUUCUUCCCCUCUCCUGAUCGGAUAUUUUCAUGCUUUGAUAUGAAUUAUCUGUUGUUGCCCAGAUAUGGCCUCUGCUCUCUUCUUGAGAAAGAAUUGCAGUAUUACCCCUGUGACUUGCAAAACCAUAUCUAGAAUAUAUAGGGGUGUUUAAUGAUUUACUUGUCAUGUGUGUCACCCAAAUAGGGAAUUACUGGUCUGCCGAAAGAACAAAUAGAGAAUUUGGAGAUACCCAGUGUUAUUUCCCCUGGGUGCUACAUUAAGACAAUAAACCAUUUAUUGAUACUGGAGUUGGUUCUUCAAUGUCAUGAAAAAUAAAAACAACUUCCAGCCAAAGCAGGCUUAUAUAAAUAAAAAAUUAUUUUCUGAGUCUAUAUUAAGAAGUAUUUAUUGCUGAUUUUGAGAAGCAGCAGGAUAUAUGACAGAAUAUAUCCUUGCUCUAGAAGUGUAGAAAAACCUGUGUAUCAGUCCUGGUAGAAAAAAACAGUGUUCUGGCUUGCUCAUGAGACAGCAACAUUUUAAAUAUAUGAAGACACAUGAAGACAAACAUAUGAAAAGCAAUUGCUAGAUGAGAAGAUCACCAAAUAGCUACUUUAUUGUAUAACUGUGAUAAACUAUGGCUGUGUUUGAAAAAAAAAACAAACACUGCAAAAUACAGAGCAAGUCUAUGCUCUUGUUUAGGGAGCCAAUUUUUUUCUUUAACUUUAUAAAUUAAAAGUUCCUUCUUCUAUGAAAUCUUACAUACCUCAGAUAACAUGAAACAUUAUGUAUGCUGUUAAGACUAAAUCAAUUAAUUGCGAUGUCCUGCAAGAAUUCAUACUAGUGUAUGUCUUUUACCCCCUCACUGAAUCUGAAAAAAAGUUCAUCUGACCUUGCAUGUAAAUGAAAAUGUAAAUUAGUUUUUCCAUGUUACAGUUUGAUCCUUAUACAGAAUCAUUUUUAUGUAUGGGGAGGCUAGGAGAGGAAUAGAAUUUCUAAUUUUAAAUUCUAUCUCUUCGAUUUCACCAGACUUUUGGAAACACGGACUAUACAAAACAAAAGUGUGUACCCAUUAAAUAAAACUUACAUUAAUUUCUUUCUGGAAUGAGAUUUUAAUUGCGAAGUUUUGCUCCAAGGCAAUUUUUUUUCCUCUUUCUAAACCUAGGGUAAGAUGAAACAAUAUAUAUAACAAAAUGUUAACAUUUGCUUGAUUCCAAGAAUUCUACUGAACAUUUUUUAAGGAAACCAUCAUCUCACAAAUGUCUUUUAAAGGAAGUGAGCUUUGAGGUAGUAACUUGGCCAUAUAGAUUAUUUAGGAGUUUCUUGGAUUUGUUUUUUCACAUGAGCAUCUAAGAUUAUUUCUAGACAAAGCAGUUAAACUCCAAUCCACAAAGCCCACAAACAUUUACACAUUUUCCAGUUCAUAAAAUGUGCCAUGAAAAAGACCUCAUUAUAGGCAUAUUUAUUUGAAAGAUUUCUUGGUGUUCUGCUUCCAGAAACGAUGGCUGACUUGAAAUUGAGAAAAGUGCCAUAAAAUGGGUUUCUUCAGCUUGAUCAGGUUCAGUGAAGAUCGUAAAGGACUGUAAAAGCCUGGAUUCAUUCAGUCUUGUGCCUUUCCAAAGCUCCUGUGAAUGUUUUGUAUCAUUGCUGUCAGAUGUGAUUUUCUCUGCUGCUGCAGAUGUGCACAACAGAUUUACUGUUACAAGUAAUAGAUAGUAAAUUCCUGACAUAGAGGCAUUUAGGGCCACUGCCAGAUGUCUCAUUUUAAUAAUACAUUUGUAUAUCCGAGUUCCAGAGGGACAAUUAAGCUGUGAACAAUAAAGAUAAAAUCCUUGGAGGACAGGUAUAACCACUUUAUUGUUGUAGUCAAUCUAUGGUGCUCAAUAAAAUGGAUGAAUUCAGUUUUGUUUUUGUGUUGUUACAACAGGAUUACUAUUGCUUAGGUCUCAUUCAAAAAAUAGUUGAU